AAACAACGUUGCCACACGCGGAGAGCACGGAGAUUUCUGGGGCUUUGGAGGGAAUCGUGAGCGGGCGGGAGGAGGCCGGGGACCACACAGAACUGAGAUCCAGAGAGAUGAUGACUUUGCCCAUAGACCAAACAAAGAAAUACAUGUUUCAGUCCUGUGUCCUCCUGCUAUGUGUGUCCGGAAUUGGUGGGUUCUUGGUCUCACUGACUUCAAGAAUGAAGCUGCGGACCCUCGCGGACCGUGUGUGAAUGCCUGCUCUGUGAGCCCUCAGAAUCUACUGGCCAAAUGAGUGCGUGGAGGAAAUGUGCUCAGAGCUGCUGUGUGUCAUCCUGUGUUUGAAGUGCUCCUGCAGCUAUCAUUCAUCCAGUUAAGAAUUUGAAGAAGUGUGUGCACAAAGGAUGUACCAGACUAUUAAUAUUGGUGACCAUGGGCUAGGGAGUAUGUUCUUGAUAAAUUUACAAAAUCUUCUGAUCAACUAUAGACUUUAAAAAUAUAACAAAUCAAUUUUUUAAUAAAAUACUCCCUCUCUGUCUCUCUCUCUGUCUCUCUCUCUCUCUCUCUCCAUAUAU
This 569-nucleotide non-coding RNA is filed under the name Pan troglodytes (chimpanzee). The record is from RNAcentral. Lineage: Eukaryota; Metazoa; Chordata; Mammalia; Primates; Hominidae.